AGUGAACGCUGGCGGUAGGCCUAACACAUGCCAGUCGAACGGCAGCACAGUAAGAGCUUGCUCUUACGGGUGGCGAGUGGCGGACGGGUGAGGAAUACAUCGGAAUCUACUUUUUCGUGGGGGAUAACGUAGGGAAACUUACGCUAAUACCGCAUACGACCUACGGGUGAAAGCAGGGGAUCUUCGGACCUUGCGCGAUUGAAUGCGCCGAUGUCGGAUUAGCUAGUUGGCGGGGUAAAGGCCCACCAAGGCGACGAUCCGUAGCUGGUCUGAGAGGAUGAUCAGCCACACUGGAGCUGAGACACGGUCCAGACUCCUACGGGAGGCAGCAGUGGGGAAUAUUGGACAAUGGGCGCAAGCCUGAUCCAGCCAUACCGCGUGGGUGAAGAAGGCCUUCGGGUUGUAAAGCCCUUUUGUGGGGAAAGAAAAGCAGCAGGUUAAGACCCCGCUGUUCUGACGGUACCCAAAGAAUAAGCACCGGCUAACUUCGUG
RNAcentral lists this ribosomal RNA (492 nucleotides) under uncultured bacterium. Its description in RNAcentral is "partial 16S ribosomal RNA". It matches the Rfam family "Bacterial small subunit ribosomal RNA", at positions 29 to 507 of the family's 1533-position model. The record is from RNAcentral.